UGAAGAAACCGGCCGCCAUCUUACUGUACCCACAACAGUCGCCGCAGCGAUCAUGGCAACUUCUUGCAAUUACGGUCGUACCAACCGUACUGGCAGGGUUACAGGGCCUAAAUUUAUACAGGUUUCGUCAUGGGGGCUACCUAGUGAAUAAUCUGUGCAGUGUGAUACAGCUGGGUGUACAGGUUACUUCACAGCUGCCUCGACAUACUCAAGAAAUGGGUGCAGAACCUGCGUAAUGCC
Molecule: long non-coding RNA, 240 nt
Organism: Ornithodoros turicata
Lineage: Eukaryota; Metazoa; Arthropoda; Arachnida; Ixodida; Argasidae
Exons: 3
Source: RefSeq, a predicted model, not a curated record